Molecule: ribosomal RNA, 656 nt
Filed under: Limonium caspium
Lineage: Eukaryota; Viridiplantae; Streptophyta; Magnoliopsida; Caryophyllales; Plumbaginaceae
Description: eukaryotic LSU rRNA
Rfam family: 5.8S ribosomal RNA (bases 250-405)
Source: RNAcentral
GGUUUCCGUAGGUGAACNUGCGGAAGGAUCAUUGUCGAAAACUGCACGUUUAAGCCACACAUGCUAACUUGUUUUUUAAAAAAUUCCUUGUUGUUUGUAGGAAGGUUGCCUUGGCUGCCUCCUAUGAUGACAUGAAAAAAUUUCGGCGCGGAAUGCGUCAAGGAAAAUAGACAUUAAUGAAGGCUAGCCCUCUUGUUGCUGUUUUGUUGCAUUUAGGGUGUUGCGUCGUUGAAAUAUAUUUGGUUGAAUGACUCUCGGCAACGGAUAUCUCGGCUCUUGCAUCGAUGAAGAACGUAGCGAAAUGCGAUACUUGGUGUGAAUUGCAGAAUCCCGUGAACCAUCGAGUCUUUGAACGCAAGUUGCGCCUGAAGCUAUUUGGCUGAGGGCACGUCUUCCUGGGUGUCAUUCUCUGCGCUGCCCCUUCACCCUCCUACUGUGUUGAUGUGAGUGGGCGGAGAUUGGUCUCCUAUGUGUCUUGCGCACAUGGGUGUCUUAAACACGGAGCAUGAUGUAGUGAUCACUGUGAUGAUCGGUGGUUGAAUGGGCCUUUAGCCCUAGAAGCAUCUUUGUCAGGAAGUGUCGUGUUGAGAUUGCUACAAGGAUUUGAAUUGUUUGAAAUCAGUGUCAAUAAAUUGGUACGAUUAGUCAACAGUUGC